AGAGCCUCGGUCAACGAGCAGCUCCAAGGCCGUGUAGGGGUGGGGCGGCGGUAUUUGGAGCGCAGGGUAGCUGUGAGCGGUUCCAUACACCGCAUGGAGGUAUAGGCACAAACUUGGUGUAUUUGUGCAGGGUCAGCAUGGCUGCUGGAAGCUGGAGAAUACCUGUGGCCUGUGUGGCGGUGUACAUCUACACUGUGGUGGCCCAGUUUGACUGGCAGACACAAGACAACUUUGAUUUUAUUGAUCAAAAGUUCAAACGUGUGAGGGAAGACAACUGUGAGCUGCUACCAUUUGCUGAUCUGUUUCUGCCUGAAAGUACUGUGUCACAUAAGCCAGAUAUCAAAGACAUCAACGUCAACCCAGUGCUGCCAAACCGGACACACAUGCUGUACCUGCACAACCUUGUCCUAAGCCGGGGGUAUUUCUUCAGCUAUGUGAUCCAGAGCAGGUUCAAGCGGCCCUCCCACCAGGGGAUCGAACAGUCAGAGCUGGACCCUGGCAUGAUGUACUACUUCCUCUCCGUUGUCGCCGACAUCAGCUCCAGCCCCUACAUCAACGGCAGCGCCAUCUACUUCGCGCCCAACACCUCCUACUCACCCUCUUACCAGGCCAACUUCAACCAGACGUUCCCGCUGUUCGCUCCUCGAGCGUUCCGCGCUGACGACUACAACUACCCGUUUCACCUGGAGCGGAUAUCGACGCUGAACACGGUUGAGGUGUCCGACUUGGGCGCCUUUGAGAAGAUCCGGCAGAGCAAGAACUACACCAAGGAGGAGUACCGCAUAAACCGUUGGUACUACAAGUGGUUACCGGAUCAGCGGCAAACGCAGGCUUCCAAGACCACGUACCACAUCAAGAUCCGCUACGCCAACAACACCAACGAGACGUACACCUUCCACGGCCCGCCCGCCAAUGACGAGACGCCCGGCCCGGUCAACUGGACGCAGCCGUACUUCGACUGCGGCCGCUCCAACAAGUGGAUCAUGGGCGCAGCCGUACCGAUCGUCGACCUCUACCACAGGCACACGGGCUUCAGACACAUCGAGUACCCCACCUACACGGCGGUGGCCGUCAUUGAGAUGGAUUUCGAACGAAUGGACAUAAAUCAAUGUCCGCUGGGAGAGGGCAACAGCGGCCCAAACAUCUUUGCGGACACCGCGCGCUGCAAAAAGGACACAACGGAGUGUGAGCCGCUGGACGGGUACGGGUUCCGCCGCGGCGGCUACCAGUGCCGCUGUAAGCCCGGCCACCGACUGCCAAACGUGGUGCGGCGCCCCUACCUGGGCGAGGUGCUCGAGCGGGCCACCACCGAGCAGUACCAGAACGCGUUCCACUGCGAAAAAAUUGGCUGGAUUCAUAAAACCAUCCAGGGUAAAGCGAAGCUGGAUCAGUUUACCAGGUACCAGCAUCUGAACCGGCACUUCUUCAAAAACUACACUGUCAAGCCCAACGAUACCUUGGCUCAGCCACCUGCCGAAAACGUGAUGCCUCUGCUAGAGUUCUUAAAGGAGGUCAAAACCGGCGACUGCACCAAGUACCACCCGAAAGACCUGCAGCUGCGCGGCGACGUCAUGUACGGCGCCGAAAAGCAGAUGGAGAAUCAGGCCCGCCUGGCGCUCCGGCUGGCCAACUUUAUCUCGGCCUUCCUGCAGGUGUCGGACCCGGACGAGGUGUUCUCCGGGAACCGCGUGGCAGACCGCCCGCUGACCGAGGACCAGAUGAUGGGCGAGGUGAUCUCCAUGCUGAUGGGCGACACCUGGAUCUGGGGCGCCGGCAUCUUCUGGGACAGGAACAAGUUCUACAAUCGCACCCUGUUCGCGCCGUACGCCUUCAAGAAGGAGCUGAAUCCGCGCAACCUGAACAUGGAGGACCUGGCACGACUCAACAAGUCCGAGGAGGUGUACCUGAACAAGCCGAUCUUCCGUGAGGUGAAGGCCCGCUGGUCGACCAACUUUGACUCGCUGGAGAAGAUCUGGCUGAAGAUGCUGUUCCGUUCUCAUCCGCGCGGAGACAAUAUCUUCCUGCGCAAGUACACCAGAUACCCGGAUUACUUCUUGGCGGCCAAGCUAGAAGACGGCUACUGGUCGCCGCCCUACUACGACUGUCACGGCUUCCACCCCAUGUGGAUGAUCACCUACGCCGUGCCGUUCUUCGGCUGGGAUGACCUGAAGCACAGCGUCGAGUUCAAGGGAAUGGUGAGCGUGUCCAUGAGUGCCGAGAAACUGGACAUUAACCAGUGCGACCACGACUACUGGGUGGCUAACGCCUUCAAGGACACGCACAAGUGCGACAGGAGGUCGUCUUACUGCGUGCCGAUCCAGGGUCGCGGCUUCUGGACGGGCGGCUACAAGUGCGCCUGCAAGCAAGGCUACGAGUACCCGUUCGAGGACCCCAUCACGUACUUCGACGGACAGCUGGUGGAGGCCGAGUUCCUGAACCUGGUCCAGAACAAGGAAACGAGGUACGACUACUACAAGUGUCGGCUGGCGGGCGCCCAGCGUCCGCAUGUCAGCUGUCUGGCGGUGCUGGCGCUGCUGGCGGCCGGCCUCCUGCGUGGUCUCGCCGGCUGAGGCGCUCCGCUGGCCGCCGGCCCACGCCGACCUGACGCCGCCCCGCGCCUGACGCCCGGGGCAGCAGCGCUCGCCCCGUGCCUCGGUGCCACCCUGGCGUCGGUGGCCGCCCGAGCAGCAGCGACGGCGGUAGGCUGGCGCCCGGCCGAAGCCGUGGUGGUGCCGUGUGUGUGAAUAUGUCAGAAGAUGCUGCUGGAACCUCAGAGUGUGUGGAAUCUCAGAGCGGCUCUCAUGUAAUCUCAUAGCAACUGCGAUGUAAUCUCAAAGUGACAUUUGGCCGAUGGUUUCGUGCCAGACGUAGUUUAUUUUUAGGUUGGAUCCAGUGCAAAGUGCCUGAAACGUGUUAAGGUUAUGAAUAGCAUCGAAGUAAGGGUUUGUAGUCUUUUAGUUGAGUGGCACGCACAAGGUGGGCAUUUCAUGGAGAGCCCACCGUCUUCGAGUACGCACAGCUAAUCUUGUAGGCUUGUUUUGUAUUUUAAGCUAUCGGGUUCCGGUAAUCAUUCCCAGUGCGUCGUGCCGCUGCACAUGCGUUUGUAAUUUGUACUGGAGGAUUGGAGCCAUUGUGAUUCAUUUUUCGUCAUCCACCUGGAAUGCCUGUAAGUGGAUAUGAUUGCCAUGAGUGUCUGUCCGAGUCCGGUGCACAUGAUCAAGGACUGGUGUGAGAAAAUUGCGCCCGUUUUGACAACAUCGCCGAAGGCUGCGCUUCUGUUCCACUCUAUUUUCACGGAAUGCAUCGUCAGUGUAUGUUUAUACAUUUCGCUGUAGCGUUUGAUGUGUUUGUGUUGUAUCUGAUGGCAUUUUGUUCGCCAUCGCCUUGUGUUUAGUCGGGUCGUAUGGACCCGUGCUGGCCGUCCCAAAGUCGUCCGACCUGUUGGACCUGGCUGUGACCUAACCAUGGUCAGCCAGCUGUCCGCAGAUUACGGCGAGAGCUUCGUCUCUCACCCGUGUGGUUGUCGCCUGUUGAUGUCUGAAUGCACGUUAUCAAGGACAUGUGUGAGAAAAUGCGCCCGUUUUGACAACAUCACCGAAGGCUGCGCUUCCGUUCCACUUUAUUUUCACGGAAUGCAUCGUCAGUGUAUGUUUGUGCAUUUCGCUGUAGCACGUGAUGUGUUUGUGUUGUAUCUGAUGGCAUUUUGUUCGCCAUCGUCUUGUGUUUAGUCGGGUCGUAUGGACCCGUGCUGGCCGUCCCAGUCGUCCGACCUGUGGGACCUGGCUGUGACCUAACCAUGGUCAGCCAGCUGUCCGCAGAUUACGGCGAGAGCUUCGUCUCUCACCCGUGUGGUUGUCGCCUGUUGAUGUCUGCUUGCGUCCGUGUCGGAGUGUGAAUGGGAGCCCCGCCGUUUUGGUAUGUCGUGUCCGUCCGCUCUGUGCCUGCUGUGUGCCGGCCUCGCGCCGGCCCAGCGCUGCUCUCAUCUGUUGGCAUUGGGACACACUGUGCUCACAUACUGAGCACGGCAUGGCCACCAUCACCUGUCGUCCGUGUUAACGUGUGGCCCAGAGCGCCGUCCAUGUGCGUGAAUAAAGCUGGGUGUGUGGUGCGCCCCUAGAUACCGUCGAUGUGGGUGAAUCCAGCCAUGUGUGUGGUAUGCCCCUGGAUGCCGUCCAUAUGGGUGAAUCCAGCCAGGUGUGUGAUGCAGUUUUGUAUACUGUCGAUGUGAGUGAAUCCAGCCUAGUGUGGUGGGCCCCUGGACACCGUCCAUGUGAGUGAAUCCAGCCAUGUGUGUGGCGCGUCCCUGGAUACCGUUCACAUGAGUGAAUCCACCCUGGUGUGUGGUGCGGCUUUGGAUACCGUCGAUGUGAGUGGAUCCAGCCAGGUGUGUGGCACGUUCUUAGAUACCGUCCAGACGAGUGAAUCCAGCCUGGUGUGGUGCGCCCCGGGAUACCGUCCACAGGAAAUGAAUCCAGUCUGGUGUGUGGUGCGGCUUUGGAUACCGUUGACGUGAGUGAAUCCAGCCUGGUGUGUGAUGCGCCCCUGGAUACCGUCCACGUACGUAAAUAAAGCUGGGUGCAUGUUGCGGCCUUGGUUACCGCCCAUGUGAGUAAAUCCAGCCUGGUGUGUGGUGCGGCCGUGGUUACCGUCCAUUGGAGUGAAUCCCACGGGGGUGUGUUUUAGCCAUGGUUACCGUUGAUGCGAUUUAAUCCAGCCAGGUGUGUGAUGUGUUCCUGGAUACCGUCCACUGUAGUGAAUCCAGCCAGGCGUGUUGCGGCCCUGGAUACAUUCCAUGCGAGUAAGAGAAGCUAAUUUUGUUCAAGCACAUGUUUGUAACCGUUUCCAAAUAAACCACGAAAUGCC
RNAcentral lists this unclassified non-coding RNA (4863 nucleotides) under Pollicipes pollicipes. RNAcentral's name for it is "uncharacterized LOC119099747, transcript variant X1". Lineage: Eukaryota; Metazoa; Arthropoda; Thecostraca; Pollicipedomorpha; Pollicipedidae. The record is from RNAcentral.